ACCAGAAAUUAGGCCUCUGGGUCACCUCCCACCCGUGUUUAACUGUACCUUGUUGCUUCGGCGGGCCCGCCUCACGGCCGCCGGGGGGCUCUCCUGCCCCCGGGCCCGCGCCCGCCGAAGACACCUGUGAACGCUGUCUGAAGUAUGCAGUCUGAGAAAACUAGCUAAAUUAGUUAAAACUUUCAACAACGGAUCUCUUGGUUCCGGCAUCGAUGAAGAACGCAGCGAAAUGCGAUAAUUAAUGUGAAUUGCAGAAUUCAGUGAAUCAUCGAGUCUUUGAACGCACAUUGCGCCCUCUGGUAUUCCGGAGGGCAUGCCUGUCCGAGCGUCAUUGCUGCCCUCAAGCACGGCUUGUGUGUUGGGCCCUCGUCCCCCCGGGGACGGGCCCGAAAGGCAGCGGCGGCACCGCGUCCGGUCCUCGAGCGUAUGGGGCUUCGUCACCCGCUCGUUAGGCCCGGCCGGCGCCAGCCGACCCCCCCUCAAUCUUUAACCAGGUUGACCUCGGAUCAGGUAGGGAUACCCGCUGAACUUAAGCAUAUCAAUAAGCGGAGGAA
This 554-nucleotide ribosomal RNA is filed under the name Penicillium paxilli. RNAcentral's name for it is "eukaryotic LSU rRNA". The stretch from base 178 to 331 matches the Rfam family "5.8S ribosomal RNA". Lineage: Eukaryota; Fungi; Ascomycota; Eurotiomycetes; Eurotiales; Aspergillaceae. The record is from RNAcentral.